This 29-nucleotide small RNA is filed under the name Bombyx mori (domestic silkworm). RNAcentral's name for it is "ovarian small RNA-12066". Lineage: Eukaryota; Metazoa; Arthropoda; Insecta; Lepidoptera; Bombycidae. The record is from RNAcentral.
AGCCACAUUCUCUGGGCAAGAGUAGUCUA